AUAGUCUGGCCUUGCCCCGGAUAAAUUAAAGGGCUGCGGUACUCUGACCGUGCAAAGGUAGUAUAUUCAACAAUUUUUUAAUUGGAAGCUGGAAUGAACGGUUCGACAAGAAGGAAGCUGUCUCUUGUGUAAAAUUUGAAUUUAUCUUUUAAGUGAAAAUAAAGGGACGACAAGACCCUAUAACACUUCGAAACAAGUGAUUUAUUGCUCUCUGAUGGAAAGUGUAAGAGAGGGGGGUAAGUUAUAUUGUUUUACUGUGGCAGUAGUGAUAGAAAAAUUAACUGUCAUUGAUUAACUAGUUUCGUUUAAAAGUGAUCUUAAUUAGUUAAAUUGAUCUCUUUUUAAGAAUUAUGAGAGUGAGUUAUUUUAGGGAUAACAGCGUAAUUUCUCUUGAGAGUCCUAAUUUACAGAGUUAGUUGUGAUCUUGAUGUUAAAUUGAGAUGUUAAUUAGGCACAGAGGCUUAAAAAUUAGGUCUGUUCAACCUU
This 486-nucleotide ribosomal RNA is filed under the name Lysmata vittata. RNAcentral's name for it is "partial large subunit ribosomal RNA". The record is from RNAcentral. Lineage: Eukaryota; Metazoa; Arthropoda; Malacostraca; Decapoda; Hippolytidae.